UCCGUAGGUGAACCUGCGGAAGGAUCAUUAUUAUUUGGGUCGGGUUUACUUCUAAGAACUUGUUUCAGUUGUUGUCCUAGUAUUUAAGAAGUAAACUUUUACCAAAUAAUCCUAUAUUUCUCCUAUAGGAGCAAGAUAAACUUAUAUUUAAAACCCACACUUUGAAUGAACGUAUUUUUGAAUGAAAAUAAAAUAAAGAUCACUUUCAACAACGGAUCUCUUGGCUCUCGCAUCGAUGAAGAACGUAGCGAAGUGCGAUAAGUAAUGUGAAUUGCAGAAUUCCGUGAAUCAUCGAAUCUUUGAACGCAAAUUGCACUCUCUGGCAUUCCAGAGAGUAUGCCUGUUUGAGGGUCAGUUAAAUAAAAAUCGGGGUUGUUGCUGCCUUUCGUGGCGACGCUUCGGAUUUGGGGUAAUCUUUACCUUCGGUUAAAGUGACCUAAAAUUUUAUGAUUUUUCGAACGUAUUUAAAUUAUUUUGUGUACGUUUGUGAUAUCGAAUUAGAUGUGGUCAUUCUCAUGAUUCGCGUCUAUAAUUUUUUCAUAUAAUGGACCUCCAAAUCAGGGUAAGGAAUACCCGGCUGGAACUUAAGGCAUAUCAAUAAGGCGGGGAGGGG
Molecule: ribosomal RNA, 613 nt
Filed under: uncultured fungus
Lineage: Eukaryota; Fungi
Description: eukaryotic LSU rRNA
Rfam family: 5.8S ribosomal RNA (bases 201-354)
Source: RNAcentral